RNAcentral lists this long non-coding RNA (5921 nucleotides) under Xyrichtys novacula (pearly razorfish). The record is from RNAcentral. Lineage: Eukaryota; Metazoa; Chordata; Actinopteri; Labriformes; Labridae.
GGCAGCAAUGAGGCAUGGAGAGAGGAGCAGGCCACCCAAAGAUUUACAGACAUUUAAAGUUUUAUUCAGACACAGCCGGGCAUGUUAAGUACUUUGGCCCGUUCUAUUAUGGCUUUUCCUUGUAACACGCUGCCUGAUGAAUACGAAGGUGUUUUCGGGGAUAAGAGCUGUCCCGCGGGAUCUGGCAUGAUGUAGAUUCUCCCGCGCAUUGUUUCCAGCGAGACAGGAGUCAUCCAUCUCUCCCAGGAUGAGCAGCGGUAAGCCUCAGCGCGGUCACCAGGUAAUGCUUUAACACCUGAGAUUGGCUGCUCUUCCUUCUAUUCAGCCUUUUUCUUCCAUUUCAUCAGCAGCAUGUUCUAAUUUCCCGUUUCCUCCACUCUCACUGUGUUCACGGAUUAGUCUGCUCCCUCCUGGCAGCCCCCUAAAGCAGCGUUUCUUUUUCCAUCACCACUCUGCUUCGUCUUCCCUCCUCUCUUAAAGCGUCUGAAAAUUGUGUUGCAUAUUUAUUCCUGCAGAAUUAGCAUCACAAACACUCUUGCCAGGCUCUUUGUUAUGCUUCAGGGGGAGGGAGAGUGAGGGGAAGUAGAUUACGCUCUUCGUUUCUCUGAGGCACACUCAAAGCGGGCUUUCUAGGCUUCCUCCUGCUUUUCAGCAGAGCUCGGGGCUUAUGGAGACGCACUCCAUCUACUUGAAGUAAAGACGGCUAUGACUUAAAAUAAUGUUGUUCCUCUUCCACUCCUGUUUAACACAUCUCUCUCACUCUCUCAGCCUCACUUUUUCUUUAAGUCUUAUUCUUCUUCUCGCGCUCAUCUGCAGCCUUAUCCCCGCGCUGACACUCGGUCCACUUUAUAUUUCAGUAAAGCUCCACGUUUGACUCAACAGUUUACAGACGGAUUGUUUAAAGUUGGUUUGAAACUUGUUGGUUGUGCUUAUAGUCAGGGGAGGGUGGUGAAGUCAGACAAAGAGUCAAGUGGAUUUAUAGAAAUAUGAGUUUAUUUACUGUUAUAAUAACUCACUCAUCUGCUGGUGAGCUGGGUAAAUUGAUGUGAAAGUUCACAUUUAGUGCAAAUAUUCCCUUGGACUCAUGCAUGAAGUGAGGAGGAUUUGAUGCUUGAAGGUUGAGGGAUCUGUGACCUCACAUGUUUCCUCUUUUACCACGUUGACCUGAAUAUGGACCUCUUUGUAGCCUACGGCAUUAAACCUAUGCAUGAGCAUUUAAUAGUAACAAUUUACUCUGUUUGUUCAGACAGACUUAAAAACUUUAAAUACUGAAUUAAAACUGUAACGAAUCUAACAUCAAAACGUCUAACUGUUGUCUAAUCUGGUGUCUGCAUACACACUGUAAUCAUGGACUUGAAGCUCUGCAGAGAUCAGACAGGAUCAUGACCCCUGGUGUUUUAGUUUCUAAGUGUAUUAACUUUUAUCUGAAUGUGUCAGUAGUUGUCAUGGUUACAACAGCUGUUAAAACACAAAAACAAUCCUUGCAAAUGCAUCCUGGUUUAAUUCUGAAGAAAAUAUCAUUUAUUCCAUAGCCAAUAUUGACAACAGCUAGUAGAGAGUCAGUUAUUGUUGUUUGCAUCUGAUGGUAUACAAUUUUAUGAUAAAAGAAAUAAUUUCAUGCAUUUGAUAAUAUAAUAACCAUACUUAUUUUACCCAGUUACCUAUUUAAAGUAUUUAUUUAAUUUAUUUUUUAAUUAAAUUCAGGAUUUCAUGACUGAUUUUUCUGUCAGAGCAAUAUACUUCGUUAUUCUACACAUGGUCACAGAAUUUGUAAUAAACACAAUCUGUAUCUGCUUAGUAUAUUUCUGUAAAGUGGAGCUACAGUCAUAGAUCAGUUAGGUGAUCUAGUUAGACUACGGUCCUCGUCCCACUCCCUGUCAGUAGUCAGUGAUAUGCUCCCCUUAAGCUAAUUACUACUGGACCAUCUCCUGGGUUGACUUGUAAUGCCACUGACCAAAAUAAUCACCAGACAAGUUAGCAAGAAGCUAACGUGCUGUAUGUUGAACAGUAACAUCACCAACAACUUUACAGCGCUGUACAUUUCAUAGUUAGGAUACAACAGCUCUGUCUUAAUUACAUCCCCUUUGUCUUCUGUUAAGGUUUUGUUUCACUGAGCAGCUUCCUUCAAAGCAUUUUUGCUGUUCAGUUUUGUUGUCAAAGCUUAAUAUGUGAUUUAAUGGGCAUGCUCAGAAGGUUUGGGCUGAUUUCAGGCAGAUAUUUGUGGUUGGGUUACUGUGUUAUCUGGGUACAUUUAGGGUUAUCUAGAGUUUUCCCUGUUUUUAUUGUGUGUUACUAAGCUUCAUAUGCUACGCUGUUGGCUUCUUUAGGUGUCUGCUGGGUUCUUACAUUUGAACCAUCAGUUUUAGCUGAUUUUUUCUUGGGUUUCUGUUUUUCUUUCUUUUUUUCUGCUUUGUUUCAUUUAUACACAUUAUCAAAGCAUGUUUUUUUUUAAGUGCUAUACUACCAGAGUUAUAAUUACUAUUAUUAAUUUGAAAAGAUAAUAAUAAACUGACUUUUUGAAUGACGUGUUAAAUCACUCACUGAUGAAGCAGCCUGCAGUGUCUGCAGAUGCUAUUUGUUUGUGAGUGCAGACAUUGACUGAUGCAAACAGUUGGAUCGUGUGUAAACUGAAGGGGCCUGAUAUAUCAAUUGGUCUUUCUCUGGCCAUACUAGCUGUAGAGAGAUGAAUAAAUAUAUCAAACUCUACAGUCUUUAAUUUAUUCUGUAUAAGGUCUUAAAACAUAGUCUGUGUUUUCUGGAGACUCUCUGUACAUGUGUUCACAAUGUUUGACAUGGCAGACUAAUGAACCCACUGGUCAGGCAUGCUCAUGUGGGUGUUUCUGACUGUUUCUGCAAUGCUGUGUGAACACAGAAAUAUUUAAAACUCUUCUGCUGUGGACAGGAUUUUAGUCUUUUUCUUUUUUAACCAUUGAGGAAAUAGACAACAGGUGUAGUUAUUUUAGUUUGUAUUUAUAGAGUAAAUCAGUGCAGCGUAGUCGUAACACUGAGUCACUUAGAGUAGUGUCCAGACUCGCAAUAGCUCAUUUUAUAGGUUGUUGUGUUUGAAAAUGUUCAUGUGAGUAAAUGAAUUGAUAUCCUGUUUCAUGUAACCGUGAAGUUUGACUUGAGCAUGAACAUGAACAAACAAACAAAAAACAAUAUUUAGUCUUUGACAAAGUCUCAUAAAUAAGUGGGUUAUCUUAAAAUCAGGGACCUCUUCUGUGCAGGUCAAUACUGUAACACAUGAUACAUCUCUGCAGUCCCUAGGAGAAAUUUACAUCCAUCUGGUUUAUGUUUAUUGUUUUGUUGUACAGAACAUGACCAUUACGGACCAUCUCCCCCUCAAAUACCUGCUAGUUCUGCUGCUGGAAGAGUUUAUACACAGUCACAGGCUCUGCACAGACACAAAGAACUACUCUCUGGUAAAAUGGACCCACUGUUAAUGAUUCCUGUCCUGUUAGAUGCACACCUGUUAAUGCUUAUUUUUUGUUGAUAAUAUCCUAAUAAAUCUCAGUCCAGUACUCUGUCACACUCUCAUUCUGCAGUAAACACAGCUGUAACCUUCAACUUCUCUUGGUGGAAGCAAACAACCAUCAAGUUUUACUCAUAUUUCAUUUAGCUUUAAUGCUAAAUGAAGUAGGAUUUCUAGAUUUUUAUUUAGCCAACAAACAAAUGUAACGGUUUAAACUGGGACAAGCUUGAGCCAAUACAGUAGGAAAACACUGUUUGCACAUGACCCAGGUUUUUGAUAUGGUCCCUGAUCAAAGGCUAAAAAUAGUCAAUCCAAAACCAAAAUGAAGAUAAAUACUGAUUGUUUUUGUGGUAACUAUAACCUCAUUUCUGUUCCUCUAUGUUUGAAAUCUGUUUGCAUGAAAACCAGCAUUUUUAGGAAUUGUGAAAUGUUUUCAAAACAUAGUUGUUCUUUUGUGUGUAGGAAUAUUGCAGGAUAUCACAUUAAAACUUAAAAAAAGAACUCUGGCAGUUUAAAAAGAAACUUUAAUCGUGUAAACUUGUCAGUGAUGCAAUAAUGAAGAUUCACUGUUCAGCUAUUAGACACAGUGACGUAUUACUAGAGGAUUGUAACAUCAUAACCACCAGAGAUGAACUUUAAAAGAAAAGAAAAAAAAAGUUUACAGAUACAUUUCCCCGACUGAAACAUUUUUACAUUAGCAAGACAAAUGUCAUACAACGUUUUAAACCUAUUAUUCUUAUUUAUAGUGUGCAGUAUUUGGUUUAAUUGAUCAUAUGCAGACAGUGUGCUUAAAAAGGAGGAGAUAAAAGCAUCACAGCUGAGUUUGGUAAAAGAAAAGUCCAUGUUUAGCUGCUUCAAACCUAAACCUGUUUACUGGACCCCCAAAUGAGAGAGCUUUAAGGUGGACUGGACCCUCCUGAGGGAGGCUUUACCUGGACCGGACUAACCUGAGGGAGCUCUUAGGAGGACUGGACAAACUUUGGAGAGCUUCGAGGUAAACUAUACCCUUGUGAAGGAGCCUUUACCUGGACUGAAAAAAAAAUUAAAAAACUGAGGGAGUUCUUAGAAGGACUGGACACUUCUGGAGGAGAUUUAAGGUGGACAAGACUUUCCUGUGGGGGCUUUAAGAUGGACUAGACACACCUGAAGGGAGCUUUAAUGUGGACUGGAUCCAUCUCAGGGAGUUGUGAUACAGAACAGGCCAGCCUGCAGAAGCUGUGAUGUAGAUUGGACCCACCUGAGUGAGCCAAAGGUGAGCUGGUGCCACCUGAGGAAACUUUGACAUAGACUGGACCCACCAGGGGAAGCUUGGCAUUUAACUGGACCAAUCUGAAGGAGCUUUGUCAUGGAUUGGACAAACUCAAUAAAGCUUUGACCAAGACUGGAAUCACCUAUAGAUAACAUAAGGUUGACUGGACUCUCCUGAAGAGGCGUUAAGAUGGUCUGGACACACCUGAUGGAGACUUGAGAAGGACCAUCAACCGAAGGGAGGUUUAAGGAGGAUUGUACCCACCUAUGAGAGAUUUAAGGUCAACUGCACCAACUUUAGGAAGCAUUUAGGUGGUUUGGAUCUUCCUGAAGGAGCUUUGACGAGAGUUUUAUGUGUAUUCUGGGAAACUUUAGAGGAGCUGUGUAAGCAGUCUUGUGGCUUUACAUGCCAGCUCAUCAUGUGACUUCCCUUAGAGGCAGUAUUUUUGGAAGUACACUGUUUAGAUUUAUGCACAGUGGAUGGUUGGACCCAAUUUUUUACUAUUAUUAGAACCUCAAUGACAAGUAUCUGAACCUUUAUUAAAGUAAAGAUUUUGCAGACUUGUAUCAACUCUGAUUCCCACAUUGUUUGUUAAUCCUGUAGUCUUCUACAGAGAUCACAACCGAUCAGUCGAUGAAUCAUGAUUUCUGUUAGGACCAGUUUCAAAGCCAGAAGAAAUCCAGGAACUAUCCAGGAAUUUGUGUCUUUGCAGUGUGUCAGCAAGUGUGCUUUUGGUGUGUGUGUGAAUGUGUAUGUAUGUGUGCGUCUGCACCAACAUAAGUCUGUCCUUUGAGUCUGCAGGAAACCACAGGGGAGAGCUUGCAGCCCACCAGGCUAAAUGAUCCUGACAGUGCUGAGGCCCCAGGGUCAGAGGGGUCUGUCCCAAGACACGCACAGUCUCAAGCAGAGCCCCCCCUACUCACUCCCUCCACCUCCGUCUAAUCGGCAUGCUGCAGGCAUCCUAAGCUCUGUCUAUACCUCCAUCCUUCCUCAUCAGCCUCCAGUCAUCCUGGUAAACUCCUCACCUGACCCUGAUUUACCCCCGCCCUGCUUGUCUCGUGUUCUCCGCAGAAGCAGUGAGGGGGUCAGGUUUCCCUUUUCUUUAUGCUCCAUUUCACCCUCUUCAGGUGGACAGUGAUGAUGAUCAGGAUGAUGUGAUGGGAAGUCUUCUUGGUUGUUGCUCGAUUUCUUAUUUCUUCU